UGGGGAAUCUUGGACAAUGGGGGCAACCCUGAUCCAGCCAUGCCGCGUGAGUGAUGAAGGCCUUAGGGUCGUAAAGCUCUUUCGCCUGUGAAGAUAAUGACGGUAGCAGGUAAAGAAACCCCGGCUAACUCCGUGCCAGCAGCCGCGGUAAUACGGAGGGGGUUAGCGUUGUUCGGAAUUACUGGGCGUAAAGCGCACGUAGGCGGACCAGAAAGUUGGGGGUGAAAUCCCGGGGGCUCAACCCCGGAACUGCCUCCAAAACUAUUGGUCUAGAGUUCGAGAGAGGUGAGUGGAAUUCCAAGUGUAGAGGUGAAAUUCGUAGAUAUUUGGAGGAACACCAGUGGCGAAGGCGGCUCACUGGCUCGAUACUGACGCUGAGGUGCGAAAGUGUGGGGAGCAAACAGGAUUAGAUACCCUGGUAGUCCACGCCGUAAAACGAUGAGCACUCGGUG
RNAcentral lists this ribosomal RNA (452 nucleotides) under uncultured bacterium. RNAcentral describes it as "bacterial SSU rRNA". It matches the Rfam family "Bacterial small subunit ribosomal RNA", at positions 355 to 822 of the family's 1533-position model. The record is from RNAcentral.